UACGUAGGGUCCGAGCGUUGUCCGGCAUUAUUGGGCGUAAAGGGCUCGUAGGCGGUCCGUCACGUCGGGAGUGAAAACUCAGGGCUCAACCCUGAGCGUGCUUCCGAUACGGGCGGACUAGAGGUAUGCAGGGGAGAACGGAAUUCCUGGUGUAGCGGUGGAAUGCGCAGAUAUCAGGAGGAACACCGGUGGCGAAGGCGGUUCUCUGGGCAUUACCUGACGCUGAGGAGCGAAAGCAUGGGGAGCGAACAGG
This 253-nucleotide ribosomal RNA is filed under the name uncultured bacterium. RNAcentral describes it as "partial 16S ribosomal RNA". It matches the Rfam family "Bacterial small subunit ribosomal RNA", at positions 524 to 776 of the family's 1533-position model. The record is from RNAcentral.